Molecule: ribosomal RNA, 429 nt
Filed under: Gemmatimonadota bacterium
Lineage: Bacteria; Pseudomonadati; Gemmatimonadota
Description: Gemmatimonadetes bacterium partial 16S ribosomal RNA
Rfam family: Bacterial small subunit ribosomal RNA
Source: RNAcentral
UAGGGAAUCUUCGGCAAUUGACGAAAGUCUGACCGAGCAACGCCGCGUGAGUGAAGAAGGUUUUUGGAUCGUAAAACUCUGUUGUUAGAGAAGAACAAGGACGUUAUUAACUGAACGUCCCCUGACGGUAUCUAACCAGAAAGCCACGGCUAACUACGUGCCAUCAGCCGCGGUAAUACGUAUGUGUCUAGCGUUGUCCGGAUUUAUUGGGCGUAAAGCGAGCGCAGGCGGUUUCUUAAGUCUGAUGUGAAAGCCCGCGGCUCAACCGGGGAGGGGCAUUGGAAACUGGGAGACUUGAGUGCAGAAGAGGAGAGUGGAAUUCCAUGUGGAGCGGUGAAAAGCGUAGAUAUAUGGAGGAACACCAGUGGCGAAGGAGGCUCUCUGGUCUGUAACUGACGCUGAGGCGCGAAAGCGUGGGGAGCAAACAGG